Molecule: long non-coding RNA, 432 nt
Filed under: Helianthus annuus (common sunflower)
Lineage: Eukaryota; Viridiplantae; Streptophyta; Magnoliopsida; Asterales; Asteraceae
Description: hypothetical non coding rna
Source: RNAcentral
UCUGUACUUUGUCUGUAUUCGGUCUGUAUGUAAACGAUGUCCUUGUCAGUCCUGUAAGUUGACAAAGUCAACCGUCCUCCUGGUUUGACUUAGUCAACAGUUGAAAGAUGUACUGUGUCGAAGGAUAAGAGGUCGAAGGAUAAUGUGGAUCCUUCGACCUCAUCGAAAGAUAUGGUUCGAAUCAUAGACCUCGAAAGGUAAUCUUUCGAGGUCCUUGAUGAUCUUUCGAAUACUUGGUCUUCGAUAGAUGAUCCUUCGGACCAUCUAUCAGAUCCUUCGAUCAGACAUGCUAGGCUGGUGUUGAGUUUUAGACAGAGAUGCACACAGACAGAACACACACAUCCGAGAGAUAUUGUUGAGAGCAUUCUGUCCAGAAAACACACACACACUUUUGAGAGUUUACAAGUUAGGUUUGUAAACAUUGUGCUUGUA